UAACUAUAAAUGGUACUGUGGAUGCCAUCGGAAGUCUAACCCCUACGGAGAUAGGCCUCACUGAACUAUUGCUUAGUCUACCAUAUCCUUUACUACCACAAUAACUGACUAAUAUACAUUACUACUCUCAACACAUGUUCACUAUGGUAAUUGAACAUAGAGCAUUCACAAAUAAGAUGUUUUCCAACACGUGUAUGCGUGGGUUUGUUGUAGUGGUGGUGAGGGAGUGUGUGUGUGUGUGUGAGCAAGUGCAGUGAUGGUUACGCUUUUCAUAUUACCUGGUGAAAAAAUCUGAGAUUCCAAACUUCUUAGAAGAGGACAGAGCUGUCGACCCGUCGGGGAGUUUCUCUGGGGCACUUUGACGACGACCGAUAUCAAUAAGUGUUUCUAGAGCCGUCAGCACCACCCUCAUCUCCAAAUAACACGUCCCCAUCCUCCGGGCUGAGAGGGGUGGCAUCACAGCUCAGAGAGACUGUGAUGUUUGGGUUAGUCCUGAGGCUGAGAGGCCUAACUGGGAGACUGCACUCACUCAAAUCCUCUCUCAUGCUGGGUUCUGUGUUUGGACUGUUGCUGGUGUUUUCAGAAAGUGUUGACGGAGAGGGAGACGGGAGUUUGGCACUCGAUUCUGAAGGGACACCCUCAGAGUCCGGAACACUACUCGCUGCGUCGGGGGGCUUGGCAGCUGCUGGGGGAGCUCUCUCUGGGCUGCCAUGCCUCAAACCCCCGCUGUUUCUCUCACAUAAUGCAGGUGAUGACUGGAUGUUUUGGCGCUGCAGAUUAGAAGUGUGCACCACGACGACAUCAAAUGGAACAUUUGUGGUUCUUUCUGAGGAAACAGCAUCAAAAUCACAUGUAGCUUCAGUGUUUACAGUAUGCAGGCCACCAUUUGCUACAUUUACUUCCAUGACAGAGCAGUCAAGUUCUUGGCAUAGCAGUCGGUUGCAUGUGUCCAUCUGGCUACAAUAAUCAGUAUCCACAUCUGUAGACCAAUCAUCAUUUGAUAAAUAGCAAUCCAUAUCCCCGUUGGCCAUCUUCAUGUCCAAAUCAACAGUGUCUGUGAAAGUGUAAUUCUGUUGAUGGUUGUCUGUAGGCCUACAUGACAAUGGAGAGAGAGAUGGCGGCUGUGGCCCUGACUCCAUAUUAGAAUCCCCCUCGUUCAGUGUACCCGAGUUGGAAUCUUGAGUCUCCCCCUCAUAAUCCAGUUUUCCCCGCUGUGAAACACGAGCCAGCUGCAGUAACAUUCCGUUCCCCUCCUCGUGUCUGUAGGCGCUUGCAGCUGUGUCUGAGCAGGAAAAAAGCCCCCCGCUCCCCCCUCCGUCAUCUUCCGACCCGACCAUCAGCUGAACCGAUGACUCAGUAAAUCCAUUAAGUCUGUGGUCGUUCGGGUGCGGUGGGUCGUUGCACAGGUCUGAAAUUACACAGCUUUCAUUCAUCUGAGUGGGGAGACACUCUGCAACCAAAUCCCGCAUUAUUGUAUUCCCAACUCGGACGUUCUGCGAUGGUAACACGACACAGUCAACGAUUGGAUUCUUCCUAUUGCUGGCAAUAUAAACAUAACCUUUCCCCGUUUGACCCUCAUCCGACACGCAUACUCGGCUUCCGUUGUCGUCCAAUGGGCGAGACGUUGCUAUUAUAUUACAGUCGGCAUGUGAACCGUAAGAUUUACCUGCCUCUUCGUUUUCGUUGACAUCGACGGGCAAAACAAGAACCACAUCUCCAUGUUCUGCUGUUUCCAUUUCAUGUACCCUCCGCGAAGCUAGUUACAGCUUCGGACAUAAAAUCCUGCAGCGUCGCCACCUCGGACGUCUGAGCUCCCAGUCUUCGUUGUUCUUUGAGAGCGUGACCAUGUUUUGUAGUCUGUCGUUUUUAAUCUGGCAGACCCACAAAAACAGCAUGCUGUUUUGAGGAACGUUUGGUCAAAAUAACAUUUCAAUCGGGCCUGUGCUGUAACAGAUUAAUGCAAUCCCUAUGUACCAGUCAGCAGCACUAAUACCACAACCAGUAGCCAUUUUGAAGUGUUCAUGACGUCACGUCUUUCCCGACUCGCUAAACCCAAAAGUCAGAUGUCUUGGAUACGAAGUGACAUCUUCUUUUGAGAAAGCGUAAUUGCAUCUAGGAAUAAACCAUAGUCUACAUACUCUG
Molecule: long non-coding RNA, 2142 nt
Filed under: Salmo salar (Atlantic salmon)
Lineage: Eukaryota; Metazoa; Chordata; Actinopteri; Salmoniformes; Salmonidae
Description: lncRNA (ENSSSAG00000094854.1)
Source: RNAcentral